UCACUGUGUCCCCAGGACCAGGCGGGCACCGGGCAGGGCCUCGAGGGCUCCUGCAGACAGCGGGCUGCUGGGGACAGACGGCUCCCGGCCCAUUGGACCUGCCCCGUGUGGACGGUGGACUGGACUGCUCCUCUGUCCCCCAGCACAGGGCCACCUGCUGUGGUGGCCCCAGAGCCCCCGGAGUCCCUGCUGCUCUUUGUCCUGUGUGUGUGUCCAGCCCCCUGGUGGCCCCUGCCUCAGCUUCCAGACACCCCCAGCCUCACCAGGCUCUGGCCAUGGUGGCACACCUGGACGGUGCAGCGGUCCAGCCCCCGGGCUCCUGGCGGCCACGUGGCCCCUUAAGUCCCUUGGUCACCAUCAGACAGGGGGAUCAUGUCAGAGCCCCAGGCCUGCGGCAGGGAGGCUCCACCCGAGGGUCCCCGCGGCUCCCACCCCAGAAAAAGCCAGAGUGUGAAGUGACAAGCCCCCUGUAGCCCGCCCCCUCCCCGUCUGUCCUCAUCUCCCACCUGUGGCCCUGUCACUCACCCAGCACCAGCCCCUUGGUGGUCCCUCACAGUCGCCAGCCCCCCACACUGGGUCACGGGUACAGCCUCCCGUCCCCUCCCUGACCAUGGGACCCAGGGGUGGGCAGUGGCCUGUCUGGUUCUGUGACCUGGGGCAGGGGUCCCACAGGGCCGGGAGAGGCCCCCACCUGCUGCAGGUGGCCCUGGUGGGUCACAGAGACCAGGCCCCCUGAGCAGCCGCCCCAUCAUGGAACCCGCUGCCCCCCAACCCCCGGCUUCCAGGAGCGCGAGGCGGACGUGAGGGAGCGUGCAGGGGGCGAGGGGCUCUCGGGACCCCGGAGUUAGCUCCUCUGUGCUCUGGAACAGCCUCGGGGCCUGGAGGGAGCAGGAGGCGUGUGGAGGGGCCGAGGCUGGACCGGCAGGGCUGAGGCUGGACUGGCUGACCUUCGGCUGCAGGGGCGUGUCCAGGGGCAGCCAGCAGAGCCCAGCAGAUGUGUGGCCAGGACAGCCCAGUGCCACCAGCCUGCUGCCCACCAUGAGCCAAACAGAGCUGGUGAUUUGUGCCCCGGGGCCCUGGGGUCCAGGGGUCAUCGCCAUGCGGCGUGCAAGUGCUCAGUCAAUGUCUCCGCUGUGCGCCAAGCAUGUGGGCCUGGUGGCUCCCGGGCCGGGGCCAGCCGGACACCGGCCAGGGGGCAUCCUGUCACCCUGUGGGAGUGGCGCUCACGGCCGGGUUCACUGGGCCGAGCUGGCCCGGGCAGAUCCGGGGGCAGGGCUUCCUGGGCCUGCGGCUCCGGCCCUGGCCCCCAGCCAGCCCUUCCACGGCUGCGGCAGGACUCCUGGCAGGACAGAGCUGGGUCCCAGUCUGUCCACGGCCCCUUGCCUCCGACAGCAUGGCCUAUCUCGCCGACCCACAGGGCCACCCACGGUUCCUGCCGGCUCUCCCCUCAGCCGGUCCCCUCCUCCCCGGCACAGACAGUACCUGGAGCAGAGCCCGGGACACGGUUCUCACAGGACAGGCUGGCUGGGAGCAGGGACAGAGCCAUCUGGAGGGUCUCUGGGCCCUGAACUGCACCGGGGAGGGUCCUGUCUCUGAAAGGCUUCCCUGAGGCCCCUACUUAAGUCAGGGCUCAGCAAGAGGAAGGAAGGGCUGGUUAGAAAGUGAAAGGUGGCGGCUGCGUCCGUCCUGCAGAGGGCUUCUGGGAUCUCAGGCUCUUCCUCUAAAGGAAACCUGGUGUGGGGCGGCCACGGGAAGGAUGUGGGAACAGCAUCAGCCGGGCACUCGUGGUGCUGGUGGAGGCCUGGCCUCUGAGAUCUUCAGGAUGUCACUUGUCUCCUUGAUCUGAUCAACAGCAGGGACCCCAGAGAACUCCCUGGCCAGUUUCCACCCCGUGAGGACAUCUGGGGAGCAGCAGCCCUCACCAGAGUGGGACCUCUGGGGCCUCCACCUUGGGCCUCAGCCUCCAGAGCGGUGAGCACCACAUUUCCUGCUCCUUGGCCACCAACGGGACCCAGCGGGACAGUGUGGCCUCAGAGCUGCAUUCAGCCCACGGCGGGAGCUCUCUGUGCAGUGACGGAGGGCAGGGCCACGGCCAGGCCUGUCCUGGCUGCCAGAGGGUCCCGGGUUGCUCUCACAGCAGGCCUGGCCCUGCAGACAGUAGAAGAACAUGAAAAACCAAAAGCCGGUUCCUGUUGACCUUGAGCUCCUGGAUCCAGCUGUACUUGAAGGAGGAAUGUCUGAGACUUUCAGAUACGAGAUACGGAGCUCCUGGCUCCCGCCCUGGGGUGGAGCCUGCGGUGCCCGGGCUUUCCCUGGGCCUCCCUCCCUCUCCAGCUCCGGCACUGCCCGGAACCCCAGCGUGGACCCCUCGCACAGGCCCCGAGGGAGUUCAGGACAGCCUCCCCCCGCCCUCCCCCCGCCCGCUGGGCUCCUGGGCGAUACAUCCUAAUGUAUAUUUAACAGUGGUUCAAAAUCGAAUUAAUUUAGCUGGUUAAUAAACUGUAACAUCCGUUUCUAAA
Molecule: long non-coding RNA, 2519 nt
Organism: Marmota monax (woodchuck)
Lineage: Eukaryota; Metazoa; Chordata; Mammalia; Rodentia; Sciuridae
Exons: 2
Source: RefSeq, a predicted model, not a curated record